RNAcentral lists this ribosomal RNA (254 nucleotides) under uncultured bacterium. Its description in RNAcentral is "partial 16S ribosomal RNA". It matches the Rfam family "Bacterial small subunit ribosomal RNA", at positions 524 to 776 of the family's 1533-position model. The record is from RNAcentral.
UACAGAGGUCUCAACCGUUGUUCGGAUUUACUGGGCGUAAAGGGCGCGUAGGCGGCCACCGCAAGUCGGUUGUGAAAUCUCCGGGCUUAACCCGGAAAGGUCAAUCGAUACUGCGGGGCUAGAGUGCAGAAGGGGCAACUGGAAUUCUCGGUGUAGCGGUGAAAUGCGUAGAUAUCGAGAGGAACACCUGCGGCGAAGGCGGGUUGCUGGGCUGACACUGACGCUGAAGCGCGAAAGCUAGGGGAGCGAACGGG